RNAcentral lists this ribosomal RNA (497 nucleotides) under uncultured bacterium. RNAcentral describes it as "partial 16S ribosomal RNA". It matches the Rfam family "Bacterial small subunit ribosomal RNA", at positions 28 to 507 of the family's 1533-position model. The record is from RNAcentral.
GAUGAACGCUGGCGGCGUGCCUAAUACAUGCAAGUCGAGCGAACAGACGCGGAGCUUGCGCCGCUGACGUUAGCGGCGGACGGGUGAGUAACACGUGGAUAACCUACCUAUAAGACUGGGAUAACUUCGGGAAACCGGAGCUAACACCGGAUAAUAUACUGAACCGCAGGGUUCAAUAGUGAAAGACGGCUUUGCUGUCACUUAUAGAUGGAUCCGCGCCGCAUUAGCUGGUUGGGAAGGUAACGGCUUACCAAGGCAACGAUGCGUAGCAGGCCUGAGGGGGGGGUAGGCCGCCCUGGGACUGGGGCGCGGACCCGGCCCCUGCGGGAGGGCGCAGUCGGCAAUCCUCCGCCAAGGGGGGAAACCUUGCACAGCCACCCCGCGUCAGUGAUGAAGGUCUUCGGAUCGUAAAACUCUGUUAUUAGGGAAAAACAAAUGUGUACGUAGCUAUGCACGUCUUGACGGUACCUAAUCAGAAAGCCCCGGCUAACUACAUG